GGGGUAUGAGUUUUACUCAUUGCUGAAGGUAGUACAGUGACCUAUAGCUGUCAACAUCUAUGUCAUUUGGUCUCUUGUGGAGAGUUGUCUCAUUGGCAAUCAUACCACAUCUUCUUUUUUUUAUAUUCAAAUGUCAUUGAGAUAAAUUAAAUAGGCAAGUGCACUACUCAUGUUCUGUAGGCAAAUCUGUGCAUAUUUAGACGAAUUCUG
This 210-nucleotide long non-coding RNA is filed under the name Mytilus galloprovincialis (Mediterranean mussel). The record is from RNAcentral. Lineage: Eukaryota; Metazoa; Mollusca; Bivalvia; Mytilida; Mytilidae.